This 597-nucleotide ribosomal RNA is filed under the name uncultured bacterium. Its description in RNAcentral is "bacterial SSU rRNA". It matches the Rfam family "Bacterial small subunit ribosomal RNA", at positions 331 to 929 of the family's 1533-position model. The record is from RNAcentral.
CCAGACUCCUACGGGAGGCAGCAGUGAGGAAUAUUGGUCAAUGGGCGCGAGCCUGAACCAGCCAAGUAGCGUGCAGGAUGACGGCCCUAUGGGUUGUAAACUGCUUUUGUAUGGGGAUAAAGUCAAUCACGUGUGAUUGUUUGCAGGUACCAUACGAAUAAGGACCGGCUAAUUCCGUGCCAGCAGCCGCGGUAAUACGGAAGGUCCGGGCGUUAUCCGGAUUUAUUGGGUUUAAAGGGAGCGUAGGCCGGAGAUUAAGUGUGUUGUGAAAUGUAGACGCUCAACGUCUGACUUGCAGCGCAUACUGGUUUCCUUGAGUACGCACAACGUUGGCGGAAUUCGUCGUGUAGCGGUGAAAUGCUUAGAUAUGACGAAGAACUCCGAUUGCGAAGGCAGCUGACGGGAGCGCAACUGACGCUUAAGCUCGAAGGUGCGGGUAUCGAACAGGAUUAGAUACCCUGGUAGUCCGCACAGUAAACGAUGGAUGCCCGCUGUUGGUACCUGGUAUCAGCGGCUAAGCGAAAGCAUUAAGCAUCCCACCUGGGGAGUACGCCGGCAACGGUGAAACUCAAAGGAAUUGACGGGGGCCCGCACAAG